GCCCGGUUAGCUCAAUCGGUAGAGCGUGAGACUCUUAAUCUCAAGGUUGCGGGUGAGUAGUCCUCUUCUCCAGGGAAUCCGUCCAAACCCGGAAUACUAACUUGCGCAGGUUCGACCCCCGCAUCGGGCU
This is a non-coding RNA of Xylaria intraflava, 130 nucleotides long. NCBI's taxonomy places the organism in Eukaryota, Fungi, Ascomycota, Sordariomycetes, Xylariales, Xylariaceae. The record is from the annotation of a GenBank genome assembly.